CGAAGAGGGUGCUGCGGCACAGCGUCCUUCCCUUCCGUGUUGGUGCGUCUAUGAGUGUCUGUGUCGCUCGUCGGACGUGCACAGAGCGACGGCCUCACCACCACCCACAAACACACGCACAUGGCUUGAAAACCGUUUAAAUACGCGCAGUCGUGUCAGCAGAGCAAGUCUUUCCAUGGUCGCUAUAGAGCUAUCUAUCCCAGCCGAUCCUGGUGUCUUCUUUUCUAAACUGUCAUUAAGGCUACUAAACACACACAAACAGACGAGCAGAGCACGCACCUCCCGCUCAAAUCGAGGUAGCGCUCUUUCGGUUCUGAUUUCCAUCCUGCGGCUCGCGUGCCUCCCUCGCACCGAGCGCGCCAGGGCAACGACCGCCUCCCCGCACUGUCGAGAGGACACAUUUUGCCGCUUCUCUCUCGCCAUCAUUCUCUUUGGCAUUCUCCCCCCCACCCCCGACGCAGUGUCCGUUGACGCCCUCCCCCUUCUCACUCAAGUUCUUCGACGGGUUCACGCAGAUAAGCAAUGGGGCUGCCAGGCUGGAUGCGGCGGUGUGAGAUCUAUGCGAUCUGCAUGGUGUGGCCCAUCGCCACCGUUGUGGGGCUCGUAGGCACCUACCGUCUCUUCAUGUGGAGCUACGGCGGUCGUGAGUGCUUCCGCUACGUUGCCAUUCAGGAGCCGUUUAAGGAGGAGUGGUAUCAGGCGAACCCCAAGUCGGCGCUUGGUAUGGACACGCCACUCUCGCACGUGCCCAAGUACCUGGAGACGCCAGGGUACACCGUCGACGGGGCCACGGACGAUCAUCCACACCACCGCAACUUCUAAGCGAGCACAUAAGGGGAUGUCAGCGACUCGCCGAUCAUACCGUGGGCUCUCUCGCAGCGCCCGUGCUCAUUGUCGUGUUCCAGCAGCUGUGCUUUCUUCACCUGACCGUUCCCUUUGCCCCCCCCCCCCGUGCGCAUCCGCGUGCGGGCGUCAAGGGGGCACCGAGCUGCGGUGCUUGUCGGUGCCUACUCACGAUUUUCUUGCAUGAUCGCACACGACUACUCGUGCGAGGGUGGCGGUGCUGCUUGAAGGGAACUACCGUGUUACCCUAAUCGCGUUCUGUUGCGGUGCUCUGUGUUUGUGUGUGUGGGUGUCUACAUGCUCCUUUGCGUGAUUGCAGUGCUCG
This 1168-nucleotide unclassified non-coding RNA is filed under the name Leishmania donovani. RNAcentral's name for it is "gene:LdHU3.33.3850(CDS-product:hypothetical_prote in_conserved)". The record is from RNAcentral. Lineage: Eukaryota; Euglenozoa; Kinetoplastea; Trypanosomatida; Trypanosomatidae.